UUCCUAAGGCCACAGGGUGAAAGAGCAGAAUUUAACUGAAUUAUCCAGAACCUACUCUGUGUAGAAUGUGAGGAAUUGCAAGAACCUUUUAUGCAAUGCUGCUUUCACAGAAGCAAAACUUACUGUCACACCGGAGGCAACCCAAAUACCCCUCAGGAAGAUCCUUAAUCAUUGAUCCAAUUAGUUCCAACAUUCUGAGAAUGAAACUAAGGGAAUAAACAUGACACACAGGAAAAGAGUACUUUCAAAAUGAGUGCAAAGCGGCAACAUUUGCCAUCACUGGAACCAGACAGAAAUUGGAGGAUUGUGUUUUAAGAAGAAUGUUAAAGCCAGC
Molecule: long non-coding RNA, 334 nt
Organism: Agelaius phoeniceus (red-winged blackbird)
Lineage: Eukaryota; Metazoa; Chordata; Aves; Passeriformes; Icteridae
Source: RefSeq, a predicted model, not a curated record